RNAcentral lists this ribosomal RNA (2013 nucleotides) under Triticum aestivum (bread wheat). Its description in RNAcentral is "partial small subunit ribosomal RNA". Lineage: Eukaryota; Viridiplantae; Streptophyta; Magnoliopsida; Poales; Poaceae. The record is from RNAcentral.
AUGGCAGAAGAACGAGCGACGUCGUCAUCCAUGGAACAACCACCAAUGCACAACCGGGCAGCACCCUGCAACCUACCACUUCGGCGUUCUCUCGGGCAACAACUACCUCAUGCAAUCCAUACUCCCAGCAGUCCGAACUACCAAGCCCCGCGCCCCUCACUCCUCCCUCCCUUGUCCGCCGCCACUCCCUCCCACCUCCUCCUCCUGUGCCCUAGGAGCCCCGCCACCGACUGCUACUCCUCCACCGCCUCGCCUCUUCCUCCUCCUCGCCUUCCCAUCGCUUGUCUUCAGGCCGCAGCGGUGGUUCCCGAUCUGAGCCGUCUUCAGGUACGUGGAGCGACGGAGGUCGGCUCCCUCCUUCUCCAAGGUCGCACGACGGGAGAGGACUCAGCCCCGAUGCUCUGCCUCUCCAUGUGUCUCCGCAAGCCAUCGUCUGAUGCCGUCGUUGCCCGCCAUCAUCUUUCUCGCUGCCUGCUUGCUAGAGAGCCAUGGCUUUCCUCGCUGUGGCUGAUGCUUAUGCGUUCAGUUAGGGUAAGGACGUGCAUCCCCUUCCAACAGAUCAAUUUCUCUCAUCGCUCUUCAAGCACUGAUUUGUUCUUCCCUUUCUCUUCUAAUUUUCUUGUUGUUCAUACAACCGCUGCUCGGUUUCUUGCUUCUGCCUCUUCCGUAUGCAUGUCCGCACCGUUUGUUCCAAGAGUGGUCGCGGGCUCAUUCCGGCGGCCGGCGCACGCAGCCGUGAGGGGUGGGGUGGAUGAGCAAGCGGCGUCGCCGCCGCUGCCUCGUGCCUGCGGGCGAGAAGAUGGCAUGCAUAUGUUGAUGUACCAAAUAUCAAGGCAUUGCUAUAGCAGCCAUUGCUUUUGCCUAGCUGCGAUUCCAUCUUGCAUUGAGAGUAUGAUGCUCUCAGCAAUUGGAACAAUCAACACCUUUCACAAGACUCUCCUUGGACCUUGGGUGAGGGUUACCAUUUUGGAAGGUAAAAUACUAAACCUUUGUAGGUGCAGAACUAAAAAUCUGCUCGAGAUAAAGUUGUGUUCUAGCCAUGUCUUUCUUCUGUUGAAAAGAAUACACCAUGCUUCAUUUGAUCACUUCUGGACGAUUCUUCAGUUUGAGAAACUCAAAAUUUCAGUAGCAAGCAUGCAUAUGUCGGCCAAUGAUGCAGGGUGCAUGUAUUUCAUUUGGUUGACAGUUCAUAGUCUGGCCGAGGAGCAAGUACCACCGAGGCCUUCAUCGAGCUCAAGAUGUGACAGGGAGAAGGAGCAGGCGUUGAGUUGUGCAAGCAGCAGGGGCAGAUUGUUUCUUUCUGAUUGGUUGAUCUUGUGGCUUGUUGUCCCUAGAGCAGUCGCACCCUUCCAAGAAAGAAUCUACACGGGCCAGGAGCUAAAGCGGGUCCUUUGGGAUAAUCGAGCACUUGAAUUUGAGGAAGAGGUAGUGUUUGGAAGGGAUGAGAGACAAGUGAUCAUUGCAAUUUUUGUGGGAACAUUGCCCAAGAUGGCGAAGUGCAGGAUCUGCCGCCACUAUUGGAGACACCUUGUCAAGCACCACGGCUACGCAGAUCGAAGCCGCUGUCACGUGCCGAAGAGUCACCAUCGCCAGCCAUCGGUUUCUUCUGCGGCAAUGGCUAAUCCAGCCCAACUUCAGGCGCGGGCCGGUCUCCGUCGACAAGCACCGUCUUCUGCCACAAGAACCGCCACCCAUUCCGAAUCCCAGCAGGACCACCCCCUGCUAUCCAAUACUGUGGAGAGCUUGAAAAAUACUGUCACUAGGGUCCACUACACCAAAGAAAAGCUGGAAGAGUACAUCAAACCAGAUGGUAACACACUCAAGGUCAGACUCGCAAACAUCAAUCUGCGCACCAAUUGUCGUAUCAUGCUGGGAACAGACAAGAGAGCCACAAUAACCACAAACUGGUCGGAGUUCCACCGCCGUGCAAACAUCCAUGAAGGACGUAUCUGCACCUUCCCUUUCAAGGUUACCGCAGAGCACCGCUUGGCUCUCAUCGUCCAUGUCCUCUAG